RNAcentral lists this transfer RNA (74 nucleotides) under Desulfobacteraceae bacterium. RNAcentral's name for it is "tRNA-Gln". It matches the Rfam family "tRNA". From Rfam's summary of the family: Transfer RNA (tRNA) molecules are approximately 80 nucleotides in length. Their secondary structure includes four short double-helical elements and three loops (D, anti-codon, and T loops). The record is from RNAcentral. Lineage: Bacteria; Pseudomonadati; Thermodesulfobacteriota; Desulfobacteria; Desulfobacterales; Desulfobacteraceae. RNAcentral also lists the same sequence under 1 other name.
UGGGGGAUCGUCUAGUGGUAGGACAGCGGUCUCUGGAACCGUAAGCCGAGGUUCGAAUCCUCGUCCCCCAGCCA